RNAcentral lists this ribosomal RNA (301 nucleotides) under uncultured bacterium. RNAcentral describes it as "partial 16S ribosomal RNA". It matches the Rfam family "Bacterial small subunit ribosomal RNA", at positions 509 to 807 of the family's 1533-position model. The record is from RNAcentral.
CAGUCGCCACGGUAAUACGAGGGGGGCAAGCGUUGUUCGGAAUUAUUGGGCGUAAAGGGCGCGUAGGCGGUUUGGCAAGUUUGGUGUGAAAUCUUCGGGCUCAACUCGAAGUCUGCACCGAAAACUGCCGGGCUUGAGUAUGGGAGAGGUGAGUGGAAUUUCCGGUGUAGCGGUGAAAUGCGUAGAUAUCGGAAGGAACACCUGUGGCGAAAGCGGCUCACUGGACCAUUACUGACGCUGAGGCGCGAAAGCUAGGGGAGCAAACAGGAUUAGAUACCCGGGUAGUCCCUGUCUCUUAUAC